RNAcentral lists this transfer RNA (69 nucleotides) under Gonocephalum kochi. RNAcentral's name for it is "tRNA-Val". Lineage: Eukaryota; Metazoa; Arthropoda; Insecta; Coleoptera; Tenebrionidae. The record is from RNAcentral.
CAAAUUAGAGCUUGGUAUAAGCAUUUUAUUUACAUUAAAAGGUUAAUUGUGAAAUUCAAUUUAAUUUGA